GACAAUGAUAGCAGGAUUAUGUGGAAGAUGAAACUGUUUGUCUCAGGAAGCACAGGGCUAGGACUUUGCAGAACUUUCCCCAAAACACUACUAGCUGGAGGCAAAUAUUCAGCAUGCAGUCUUAUAUGUGACACUUACAAUGGAACCAUAAUAGAUUCUGGUGGGGGCAAGUGUGUGGCAGAGCACAGACCCUUCCGUGGUAUCCCCUCUUUGAUGAAGUCUUUUAUUUUCCUGACCUUGAUGAGCCUAUUCUUUUUAUAGGCAAGAGGAAACUAACAUUUAUAUUAUCUGUUUCUUGGUACAGGUACCAAAACCAAGAACCUAGAGUUAUUGAUUCCUAAAACAGAGAUAUGUGAUGACUCGGAUAAGCCCCCUAUGAUUUUAGGAAGAAUCCAGAAAGGUGACCUUCAAAGCUCUGAGCUAGGAGAAUCUUGUGAAAAGGGAAAUAUGUUUAAAAAGCUGAGAAUAAGGAGAGAAAAAGGAGAUUUGAGAAAAGUGAAAGACUGCCCAUUGUCUGGAAGCUUCCAAGACGAGGAAGAAGAGAAAUCUAAGAAAACUAGGGGGAAAUAUAGCCUUAGUUCUGCUCCUGCUAAAAAACAGAAAAUACAGCCUGGGCAGAAGCCGUUUACGUGUAGUGAGUGUGGGAAAGGCUUUAGUCAGAGUGCAAAUCUUGUUGUGCAUCAACGAAUCCACACUGGGGAGAAGCCCUUUGAGUGUCAUGAGUGUGGGAAGGCCUUCAUUCAGAGUGCAAACCUUGUUGUGCAUCAGAGGAUCCACACUGGACAGAAACCCUAUGUUUGUGGAAAAUGUGGGAAGGCUUUCACUCAGAGUUCAAAUCUGACUGUUCAUCAGAAAAUUCACU
This 862-nucleotide long non-coding RNA is filed under the name Rattus norvegicus (Norway rat). Its description in RNAcentral is "long non-coding RNA NONRATT028217". Lineage: Eukaryota; Metazoa; Chordata; Mammalia; Rodentia; Muridae. The record is from RNAcentral.